GGACCCGCACAAGCAGCGGAGCAUGUGGUUUAAUUCGAAGCAACGCGAAGAACCUUACCAAGGCUUGACAUCCCCUUGACAGGUGCAGAGAUGUGCCCUUCUCUUCGGAGACAAGGGUGACAGGUGGUGCAUGGUUGUCGUCAGCUCGUGUCGUGAGAUGUUGGGUUAAGUCCCGCAACGAGCGCAACCCUUAUCCUUAGUUGCCAGCAGGUAAUGCUGGGCACUCUAAGGAGACUGCCGAUGAUAAAUCGGAGGAAGGUGGGGAUGACGUCAAAUCAUCAUGCCCCUUAUGUCUUGGGCUACACACGUGCUACAAUGGUCGGUACAACGGGGAGCUAAAGAGCGAUCUGGAGCAAAUCCCAAUAAACCGAUCCCAGUUCGGAUUGUAGGCUGCAACUCGCCUACAUGAAGUCGGAGUUGCUAGUAAUCGCGAAUCAGAACGUCGCGGUGAAUGCGUUCCCGGGUCUU
This 468-nucleotide ribosomal RNA is filed under the name uncultured bacterium. RNAcentral's name for it is "bacterial SSU rRNA". It matches the Rfam family "Bacterial small subunit ribosomal RNA", at positions 917 to 1382 of the family's 1533-position model. The record is from RNAcentral.